Pimephales promelas (fathead minnow) is the source of this 1044-nucleotide non-coding RNA. NCBI's taxonomy places the organism in Eukaryota, Metazoa, Chordata, Actinopteri, Cypriniformes, Leuciscidae. The record is from RefSeq and is a predicted model, not a curated record.
GCCGCUCUCGGAACUGGAUGUGGAAAACUCCCAGCUGCUCUGCAAGCCACUUCCCAUGGGUGGUCUUUCCAGACCCCCUCACUCCAAGCAUGAAGACACGCAGUGCAGCAUAUUCAUCCAGACAAGGUUGCAGCGUACCCCUCUCCUUCAGCACCACUGGACAAAAAUGCUUGGUGUCUCCCAGCUGCCUCUUAAAGCUGACUUCCUCCUGAGACCAUCAUAAACAAAAGAGAGGCGAGCCAGCACAGCUCGAUCCACCUCUUCUUUAUUCUGUUCAUACAUCCUUGUUAGUACAGUCCUUCCUUCAAUAAACAACAACAAGUGACCAGUGACCAUCACAAUCAAGUGGACUUCAUGGCCUAAACAAGCAUAGACAGAAUAGGACUUCAGGUGUUACAGCACCAUGUAGUUCCUCAAUGGUGAUCAGCUGUGAUCUACUGCUGGGAAUGUUGUCCAGUAUCCACUCUCUUUUAUAUUCAGAAUCCACAUCUUCAGUCUCAAUCUGAUAAACCACAGGCACUCUUAAAACACAAAUACUGUUGUUCUAUGUAAGUAUGAGAGUUGAGGAUGGCAGCACAAAAGUCUACCUCUCUUAUGUGCUUCUCCAGGGCCUCCAAAUAAAGCUCCCGUGAAGCUGUGACUGGAGACUCUGUUGCUUCCUUCAUAGCUUCCUCCACAAAAGCUUGAACAUCUGGAUGAUCUUCUGUCACUUCUAUUGCUUUUUGCUAUUACGGGACUGGAAUGACAUGGAAAUACUGUGCCAUUACCUCAAGAGGCCUGAGAAUGGUGUCUUUAUAGCGCAUGAUCCUGCUCUUGGCAUUCUCUGGGGUCCCACUUCUCCUUCUGGAACACCCGGCCUGUCUCCGGAUGUUGACGCUCUCCUGAUAGCCUGUGGAUCAGGUAAUCCUCUGAAAUUGAUGGCAAACAGGCCAGGACAUAACCUGCUCAACCACCAUUCAAACAAGUCAUUACAAAUAUAUAUUAACAGAUUUUAAAACAAUUAUUUAUUAAAUUAUGUUAUUUUAGUUGUUUCUUAUCCUCACC